CCGGCCGGGCGUGCUUAGUACGGCGAGUGAAGCGGCAAAAGCUCAAAUUUGAAAUCUGGUACCUUCGGUGCCCGAGUUGUAAUUUGGAGAGGGCAACUUUGGGGCCGUUCCUUGUCUAUGUUCCUUGGAACAGGACGUCAUAGAGGGUGAGAAUCCCGUGUGGCGAGGAGUGCGGUUCUUUGUAAAGUGCCUUCGAAGAGUCGAGUUGUUUGGGAAUGCAGCUCUAAGUGGGUGGUAAAUUCCAUCUAAAGCUAAAUAUUGGCGAGAGACCGAUAGCGAACAAGUACAGUGAUGGAAAGAUGAAAAGAACUUUGAAAAGAGAGUGAAAAAGUACGUGAAAUUGUUGAAAGGGAAGGGCAUUUGAUCAGACAUGGUGUUUUGUGCCCUCUGCUCCUUGUGGGUAGGGGAAUCUCGCAUUUCACUGGGCCAGCAUCAGUUUUGGUGGCAGGAUAAAUCCAUAGGAAUGUAGCUUGCCUCGGUAAGUAUUAUAGCCUGUGGGAAUACUGCCAGCUGGGACUGAGGACUGCGACGUAAGUCAAGGAUGCUGGCAUAAUGGUUAUAUGCCGCCCGUCUGAA
Molecule: ribosomal RNA, 576 nt
Filed under: Saccharomyces cerevisiae (brewer's yeast)
Lineage: Eukaryota; Fungi; Ascomycota; Saccharomycetes; Saccharomycetales; Saccharomycetaceae
Description: eukaryotic LSU rRNA
Rfam family: Eukaryotic large subunit ribosomal RNA
Source: RNAcentral